This 875-nucleotide ribosomal RNA is filed under the name Elaphomyces castilloi. RNAcentral's name for it is "partial large subunit ribosomal RNA". It matches the Rfam family "Eukaryotic large subunit ribosomal RNA", at positions 56 to 945 of the family's 3401-position model. The record is from RNAcentral. Lineage: Eukaryota; Fungi; Ascomycota; Eurotiomycetes; Eurotiales; Elaphomycetaceae.
AUCGCACCAACCGGGAUUGCCUCAGUAACGGCGAGUGAAGCGGCAAGAGCUCAAAUUUGAAAUCUGGCCCCUCCCAGGGGUCCGAGUUGUAAUUUGGAGAGGAUGCUUCGGGUUCGGUCCCGGUUCAAGUGCCCUGGGACGGGCCGUCGGAGAGGGUGAGAAUCCCGUCUGCGACCGGUGACUGGGCCCGGGUGAAGCUCCCUCGACGAGUCGAGUUGUUUGGGAAUGCAGCUCUAAAUGGGUGGUAAAUUUCAUCUAAAGCUAAAUAUGGGCCGGAGACCGAUAGCGCACAAGUAGAGUGAUCGAAAGAUGAAAAGCACUUUGGAAAGAGAGUCAAACAGUACGUGAAAUUGUUGAAAGGGAAGCGCUUACGAUCAGACUCGCCCGGGGAGGUUCAGCCGGCACUUGUGCCGGUGCAUUCCUACCCGGGCGGGCCAGCGUCGGUUUGGACGGCCUGUCAAAGGCCGCCGGAAGGUAGCGCCCUUCGGGGCGUCUUAUAGCCGGGGGUGCCAUGCGGCCUGUCCGGACCGAGGAACGCGCUUUCGGGCUCGGACGCUGGCGUAAUGGUCGUAAGCGGCCCGUCUUGAAACACGGACCAAGGAGUCUAACAUCCACGCGAGUGUUCGGGUGUUCAAAACCCGUCCGCGCAGUGAAAGCGAACGGAGGUGGGAACCCCCCCGGGGUGCACCAUCGACCGAUCCUGAUGUCUUCGGAUGGAUUUGAGUAGGAGCGUGGCUGUUGGGACCCGAAAGAUGGUGAACUAUGCCUGAAUAGGGUGAAGCCAGAGGAAACUCUGGUGGAGGCUCGCAGCGGUUCUGACGUGCAAAUCGAUCGUCAAAUUUGGGUAUAGGGGCGAAAGACUAAUCGAACCAUCU